UGAUGUAUUGCCUUGCAUAUCUCAAAAGUGAGUGAAUAAAUGAAUAUGUUAUCAUAUACAAUGUGUGUAUAUGUAUCAGUUUUUAAAUAUCUUUUUUUUUAAGUUUUUAUUCUUAGGAUUUAAAACAAGUAGAAGAAUUUGCAAAUGAGGUCCACCUGAUGGUGUUAUGCUUUGGGUUCUGAAAUGUCCACCUUAAUGCCUGUCAAUUUAACUCAAUAAAAAUCUGUCAAGAACAGUGUAGGAAAACACAAUGGUGGACGAUACAAAUGUAUCAAUUUGUC
Molecule: non-coding RNA, 281 nt
Organism: Cinara cedri
Lineage: Eukaryota; Metazoa; Arthropoda; Insecta; Hemiptera; Aphididae
Source: the annotation of a GenBank genome assembly